RNAcentral lists this ribosomal RNA (341 nucleotides) under Bacillus cereus. Its description in RNAcentral is "bacterial SSU rRNA". It matches the Rfam family "Bacterial small subunit ribosomal RNA", at positions 63 to 392 of the family's 1533-position model. Lineage: Bacteria; Bacillati; Bacillota; Bacilli; Caryophanales; Bacillaceae. The record is from RNAcentral.
CGAGCGAAUGGAUUAAGAGCUUGCUCUUAUGAAGUUAGCGGCGGACGGGUGAGUAACACGUGGGUAACCUGCCCAUAAGACUGGGAUAACUCCGGGAAACCGGGGCUAAUACCGGAUAACAUUUUGAACCGCAUGGUUCGAAAUUGAAAGGCGGCUUCGGCUGUCACUUAUGGAUGGACCCGCGUCGCAUUAGCUAGUUGGUGAGGUAACGGCUCACCAAGGCAACGAUGCGUAGCCGACCUGAGAGGGUGAUCGGCCACACUGGGACUGAGACACGGCCCAGACUCCUACGGGAGGCAGCAGUAGGGAAUCUUCCGCAAUGGACGAAAGUCUGACGGAGC